GGGAAGUUGGCUCAGUGGUAGAGUGCUUGCUUUGCAUGCAUGAGGCCCUGGGUUCAAUUCCUCAGUUCACCA
Dipodomys ordii (Ord's kangaroo rat) is the source of this 72-nucleotide non-coding RNA. Lineage: Eukaryota; Metazoa; Chordata; Mammalia; Rodentia; Heteromyidae. The record is from Rfam.